CUUUGAUCCGGGGAACCCAGUGUUCAUACUAGUUUGUAAGACAAUAGCAGCUGCAAGUUAAACCUUGAAAUAAAACAUCUUCAGUGGUUCCCAUGGAAGUCAGCCUAAAAGAACAAUUACAAAAUAACCACCUCAUAAAAGAAGCAUACCCUAGAAAUCCUAGGAACAUCAUAUAAUAAGUGACAAUUCUGUAAGUGAUGAAAUUACAGGUUGCAAUUGGCAAAUACUAUGAACUUGAUAAAUAAUGGGCAAAGUACAAACUUAAAAUGCAGUAAAGUUAUGAGUAAACUGAAUACUAGUUCCUGACCUCUGAAUCAUGUCCCUUACCGAAAUACAUGUAUUGCAUUCAAAAGAUACAAACUUCAUUUCCUCUCAAGAACUUCAAAAUUGCUUACUUUUAUUUCUGAAGAGUUUUUGUUGUUUAGAAAGAUAAAAGACAAAAAGGAAAGCCAAUGCAAUCAACCAGAUCCCAGUCCACGGAACUGGUGGAUCCUUGAAACAUAUAAGGGACGCCUCCACUUCUUGGGAGGCAUGAUAGACAAGAGAGUGGAUGGCAUAUAGGUCGUGAUCUGAGGACCUCAAGUAAUACAAAGCCAUCUCAAAAUCCAAAUGUGACAAUGCAGAGACUGCUUUGUCCAGCUUGUACUUGAACAAGUUCCACCUUUGUACGAACUCAACAUGUCGACUACUUUUAAGGAGCUUUCUUUCCCCACCAUGUGCAGCUAUGGAUUCAAGAACAUCCACAGCACUUGUUAUGCUGUAAUUGAGUGAUGUCAAAAGAACAUUUCUACGAGCAGCAUCCUUCUGCACAAAUGACAAUGAUGAAACCUCAGAGAACGGCCCAAACGGAGUCUGCCCAACACUCCAUGUGUAAUCCACCAAUGUAGUAUUGUGCCUAGGGCUCCACAGCAUAUGGGUUGGUGACACUCCCCACAUGCUCUGUAAAAUCGAACCAACAAGUGGUCGCUCAAGCUCCCUUGUCUGUGUAAACACAUGACGCCCGUUACAGCUAUAAUCACUGACAGUCUGUGUGUUCUUCGUCCUGACUGCAAUGACCAUGUCUUUAAAAGCAACAGAUUGGUGAUACCUAUCGAGCAACAACAGCAUGCUAUAGUCCAAAUCAAACACAUAAACGGGAAGAACCCUACCGAAAUCCUCCUCAGGAAACCCUGCCACCCUCCUAAACUCCUCAGCUGAAUCAGACAAUAUCUGAUGCAAUCGCUUCGAGUCCAAAUACUCACUUGCAAUCAAAGUAUAGUUAUCAAACAAGAAUCUCGACGUAUACGAAUUGAUAGACCGAGAAAUUGCAAAUGAACAAAUUGGACACUCCGAGUAACUCACUCUAUAAGUCUUGAACCUCAAAGACUGAUCCCCCAACAACAACCCAUUAUCAUGGGCCUCAUCCAUAAACGAUCUCUCAAUCGAUUUCCAAUCCAAACCACUAGAAUCCUUACUGCCCUCAGAUCCAUAAACAUGAAUAAACUGAACAAUCAAUGAAUUCUCAAACUGAACAGGAAUUCUCAAAGAGGGCACAAGAAGAACCUGGUAAGCACUCCAAACCAAGGAAGCCAAGUCAGCAAGCAACGCCUUUUGAGCCUUGGGACGACCGUGCAAUGCCGCGAGAGGAUGAAACUCACCUCUGGGCAAAACCCCAUCACCGGAAAGAGCCGGGCCAUAAUCGACCGGGCCAGCACCCAAGUCAAUCCAGAUAUACCUGUCUUUGCCAGUCCAGAUGCUCCCCAAACACUUGGUGAAAGCAGCGGAAGAGUCCCCAGAUCCAUAGUUAUAAGCAUAAGGCUUGGACUGGGGACCCAAAUUCAGAAAAUACAAGUAAACCCCAGAAACGGGCUUCUCUUUCUCGAAGUCCUGCUUGAUGAUCUGGUCAAUCGGGUCGUAGGGGAUGGAGAGAAGCGGGGAUCGGAGGCUGGAAGGGGUUUUCUCGAGCUCAGAGUUUAGGGUUUUGGAGAGUUGGGAAGCUAAAGAGGGAGAGUGAGAGACGUCGAGGUGAAGAGAGUGCUGGACGGCGAGGCGGUGAGAGUGGGUUUCGUAGGGGGCGAUGACGUGGAAGUGGUUGGAGGAUUGGGAGGCCGAGAGGAAGGAGGAGAGGAGGAAGGCGGAGGAGGAGGGGAAGGAAGAGCCGACGAGGCGGACGUGGAGAGAGAGAGGGAGGGAGAGAGAGAGGAGAGAGGAGAUGAGGGAGUGAGGGGUGUGGGAGAGAGGGGUAGAAUGGGAAAGGGAGUUUCUGAGGGUGGAGGAGAGAGAGAGGAAGGAGUCGUUGGUGGCUUGACGGUCAAGGCGGGACUGGUGGGUCAGGAAGGUGUCGAGGCCAAGGAUUGGGGCGGAGCUGGUGGUGGUUAUGGCGGUAGUUAGGAUCAGAAGAAGGAAGAAGGCGGUGGUAAUGACCGCCAUGGUGGUCGUCGAGGUCUCUGUGACUUGGGACUGAGAUGAGCUCUGCGGUUUGGGGGUCUGAAGAAGCCAAUUUUUUUCUUUUUUUUCUUUUUCUCUUUUUUUUUUUUUGGAAAUGAAAAAAUGAGACAGUGUUUGAUGCCCGUCUUAUUUUCCAGCUCACUACAAACCCAACUUACACUGGAAAUUUUGCUUUUAUAAGAAGCACUUUUGUUCAUAAAUGUUUUUCUAGAAGUAGGUUUAUUAGAAUAAUGUUGAAAAGUCAAUUAUUUCUCAAAGUCUCGUUUGGGACUAUUUCUCUAAGAAGUAUUUCUGUUUAUAAGUGCUUCUAAUAAAAUCACGUUUAUUAUAAAAAUAUUGAAUUUCCAUUGAAAAAAAAUCCAAGUGCUUUAUAAAAAUAUUGAAUUUCCAUUGAAAAAAAUCUAAGUGCUUCAUGAAGAAGUACAUAGUAGGUGUUUCUCCAUAAAGUAUUUCUAAACUUUGUUGUCAAAUGCUGUCAAAAGUGCUUUUAGUCUUUCCAGAAACACUCUCAAAUAGCUUAGAAAAUGAUUUUUAAAGAAGCACAUACUAUAUUAGUCAAGUACUUCUUCGUAAAUUAUACUAAUUUAGAGUAUCGCUUGUUCUUGGGGUAAAAAAAUGUGAACCAAACUUGAACUAUCAAAAAUGCCCUUGUCAUUUAGUGGGGUAUAAUCGUCAUUUCAGGGUUGUUUCUGAGCUUCCUGUGAUAUGAAGCAAAACUUUGAGUGGACUGCUUGGGGGCUGAAAUGGGGUAAGCAUUGGCAUUUCAUUAUGAACAAAUAAGCAUUGGAAUUUCAAUAUGAACAAAUACGCAUUGGCAUAUCCGUAGGUAUAUUUAAAUCUAUAGGAUUUGCUUUUGGUGUUUGUGAAUUAUGGAAAUCUACUCAUUGAAUUGACUAGGAAAACCCUUCAAGAAUCGUAACUGGCACUAAAAUUUGAGGCCUCACCUCACAUAUGAGCAAAUCCAAAACCACAAUGACUUUUGGAUCUUUGGGAUUACCAAACAGAGUACGGACUUUGAAAUUUGUCUCAGAUGCUCCGAAAUCAUCGUCUCCUUUGUUGAUGUAAUAUUGUUGUGGCAACACAAAACAAAACAGCUUAAGGCCAAAACUAGCACACAUGUUAUAUAAUACAGUUGAGCAUCCUUCCAGUUCAAGCAACCAUAGGAACAAACAACAGAAUUGUAGAAAGCAGAGGAAAGAAUCCUGAGUGCUUAGUUAUUAUAGGAAAUGGAGAAGAUGAUGGUGAAGAAUGAAGAGAACACUAGGAGGCUCCGCUUGACCACAGUGGAUCGUGAGGCUCAGGAAUCACGGUGUGUCAAGAAAAGGAGAAGAGACCCGGCUGCAGUUGCGGUUAGUUGUGACAACAGCCAGAGUGAGCAGCAUUUCCCACAAAAACCAGCUGAUCAAACUUCUGCUACCACAACGAAGAGAAGUUCAAGAUUUCGCGGUGUCAGCAGGUUUGAAUCUGAAACAAAUUUCAGUGGUGUUAUGAUUGUUGUAGGCAGAAAUUUCUUCUUGUUUCAUGUGUAGAAAUAUUAAGGUAAACUGUUUGUCAACAGGCAUCGAUGGACUGGUCGAUUUGAAGCCCACUUGUGGGAUAAGCUCUCUUGGAAUGCAACGCAGAAGAAGAAAGGGAAACAAGGUAAAUAUCAUUGUUGCAUUUCUUUCACUCUGUUUAAUUAUCUAUUGCUUUUACUCCUGGAUGCUGAUAUCUGGUUCCCUGUGUUGUGUUCUAUUGCAUUGUGAUUCGGAAUGGAUUCUUGGGACUGAGCAGUUUAUCUUGGUGAGUAUAUUUUGCUACAUGGUUGAGUUUGUUCAGUUUGAGUCUUAAAACUUACUUGCUAAUUCUGUAAGUGAAACAUAUUAAUCUUUUAUUAAUCUUUGUGUUCUCAGGAGCUUAUGAUGAAGAAGAAUCUGCUGCAAGGGCAUAUGAUUUAGCUGCACUUAAGUAUUGGGGAACGUCAACUUUCACAAACUUCGCGGUAUGAACCUGAUCACUGAUCAGACACACAAUAUGUAGCUUGGUAGUAAAAGGGGUAAAAAUUCAUGAUCUCACACCUUGAUGCUGUUUACAGAUAUCAGACUAUGAGGAAGAAAUUGAGAUAAUGCAGACUGUAACAAAAGAAGAGUUUUUGGCCUCGUUACGAAGGUAGGACUUCAAACAUUUUUUGUUUUGUGUUGAAAGACUUCUGAACUGAGGAAUUUCCUUGGCCGGUGUCCUGAAAUGAUUUGUAUGUUUGUUUCAGAAAGAGCAGUGGCUUUUCAAGAGGUGUAUCUAAGUACAGAGGAGUAGCAAGGUAAUAUUCUUAUUAAUAUUGUGGUGAUCAAAUCAAAUCAACUUCUUUAAAAAAACUACAAACGAACAAACAGUUUCUAAAGACUAUUUGGUUCAUAAUUGCAGGCACCAUCAUAAUGGUAGAUGGGAAGCAAGAAUAGGAAGAGUUUUUGGAAACAAGUACCUCUACCUUGGCACUUACAGUAAGUUAUUUCUGCAUCUGAUUAUAACAUUAUGUAAUGUCCAAAAACUAGUUUGAAUAUUUGUGAAGUAUUUGUAAUUGAAAAUCAUAAAACAAUCAAUGUAUCAUUCAUUGCAGGCACCCAAGAGGAAGCUGCUCGUGCCUAUGACAUUGCAGCAAUUGAGUACAGAGGGAUCAAUGCUGUGACAAACUUCGACUUGAGUUCUUACAUAAGAUGUUUAAAGCCAAGAGCUGACGAUCCGAUAGCCACUCAAGAACCAGAGACAGUUGCAGAGCCUCAGAAUAUACCAGCAUUCAUGGCCAACAGCUACAUCCCAACAGAGGAGCCCUCAUUCUCACACACAAACCUUUUUGCCUCUGGUUACUUGAGCUCUCCUCAAAAGCAAAAAGUCACCAGAAGUAGCGUCCCACUUAACACUGGUAGCAAGUCAUCUUCUCCCACCGCACUUGGCCUACUCCUUCAGUCUUCAGUCUUCAGAGAACUGGUUCAGAAGAAUGCAAACUUCUCGGAGGAUGAAAGUACUGACGGUGAAGAAACGAAGAACCAGACACAGGUUGGUAGUGAUGAUGAGUUCAGUGGAAUUUUCUAUGAUGGAAUCCGCGACAACCCUUUUGUUUGCUCGUCCAACUCUGAUGGAGACAACUCAUGGAGCAGCAUUGCAAGCACCAUUUUGCUCAAUCAGCCAUCAAAAGCAAAUGCCUCCUCCUCGGACUCUCUAUUUUUCUUUUCUUAGAUGCAACAUGGGAAACAGAACUUGUUCAUGUGGAAGAAAUUUUGUGUCACUUGUAAAUAGCAGAACUGGCACAUCAGAAGUACAUAGCAUGAAACUGCAUAUCCAUGUAAAUUAAAUAACGUCGAGUAUUGGCUUGGCUGCAUGUAAAAUUCUUAAGAACAUCGAG
RNAcentral lists this long non-coding RNA (5803 nucleotides) under Prunus dulcis (almond). RNAcentral's name for it is "sRNA ncRNA". Lineage: Eukaryota; Viridiplantae; Streptophyta; Magnoliopsida; Rosales; Rosaceae. The record is from RNAcentral.